RNAcentral lists this small RNA (129 nucleotides) under Caldisalinibacter kiritimatiensis. RNAcentral describes it as "Guanidine-I sequence". It matches the Rfam family "Guanidine-I riboswitch aptamer". Rfam says of the family: This family represents a conserved RNA structure found upstream of the ykkC and yxkD genes in Bacillus subtilis and related genes in other bacteria. The function of this family is unclear although it has been suggested that it may function to switch on efflux pumps and detoxification systems in response to harmful environmental molecules. The record is from Rfam by way of RNAcentral. Lineage: Bacteria; Bacillati; Bacillota; Tissierellia; Tissierellales; Thermohalobacteraceae.
UGGAAGUGUACCUAGGGUUCCGGAGAAAUAUCUUUAUUAUUUAUAUACUUGUAUUUCUCGACUGGUCCAAGUGGUACAGGUAUUACUUUUUUAGUAAUAUUACACCGUGGGGAUAAAAGCCCGGUCGGG